RNAcentral lists this ribosomal RNA (393 nucleotides) under uncultured bacterium. RNAcentral's name for it is "partial 16S ribosomal RNA". It matches the Rfam family "Bacterial small subunit ribosomal RNA", at positions 523 to 918 of the family's 1533-position model. The record is from RNAcentral.
AUACGUAGGUGACAAGCGUUAUCCGGAUUUACUGGGCGUAAAGGGCGUGUAGGCGGUCUUGCAAGUCAGAAGUGAAAUUCCUGAGCUCAACUCGGGCGCUGCUUCUGAAACUGCAGGACUUGCGUGCUGGAGGGGAUAGCGGAAUUCCUAGUGGCGCGGUAAAAUGCGCAGAUAUUAGGAAGAACACCGGUGGCGAAGGCGGCUAUCUGGACAGUAACUGACGCUGAGGCGCGAAAGCGUGGGGAGCAAACAGGAUUAGAUACCCUGGUAGUCCACGCCGCAAACGAUGGGCGCUCGUCGUCGGCGGCAGACAGUCGGCGGCCAAGCGAAAGCGAUAAGCGCCCCACCUGGGGAGUACAGUCGCAAGGCUGAAACUCAAAGGAAUUGGCGGGG